RNAcentral lists this ribosomal RNA (1416 nucleotides) under uncultured bacterium. RNAcentral describes it as "bacterial SSU rRNA". It matches the Rfam family "Bacterial small subunit ribosomal RNA". The record is from RNAcentral.
AUGCCUUACACAUGCAAGUCGAACGGCAGCAUGAUCUAGCUUGCUAGAUUGAUGGCGAGUGGCGAACGGGUGAGUAAUACAUCGGAACGUGCCCUGUAGUGGGGGAUAACUAGUCGAAAGAUUAGCUAAUACCGCAUACGACCUGAGGGUGAAAGUGGGGGACCGCAAGGCCUCAUGCUAUAGGAGCGGCCGAUGUCUGAUUAGCUAGUUGGUGAGGUAAAGGCUCACCAAGGCGACGAUCAGUAGCUGGUCUGAGAGGACGAUCAGCCACACUGGGACUGAGACACGGCCCAGACUCCUACGGGAGGCAGCAGUGGGGAAUUUUGGACAAUGGGGGCAACCCUGAUCCAGCAAUGCCGCGUGUGUGAAGAAGGCCUUCGGGUUGUAAAGCACUUUUGUCCGGAAAGAAAUCGCACUUACUAAUAUUAGGUGUGGAUGACGGUACCGGAAGAAUAAGGACCGGCUAACUACGUGCCAGCAGCCGCGGUAAUACGUAGGGUCCAAGCGUUAAUCGGAAUUACUGGGCGUAAAGCGUGCGCAGGCGGUUGUGCAAGACCGAUGUGAAAUCCCCGGGCUUAACCUGGGAAUUGCAUUGGUGACUGCACGGCUAGAGUGUGUCAGAGGGGGGUAAAAUUCCACGUGUAGCAGUGAAAUGCGUAGAGAUGUGGAGGAAUACCGAUGGCGAAGGCAGCCCCCUGGGAUAACACUGACGCUCAUGCACGAAAGCGUGGGGAGCAAACAGGAUUAGAUACCCUGGUAGUCCACGCCCUAAACGAUGUCAACUAGUUGUUGGGGAUUCAUUUCCUUAGUAACGUAGCUAACGCGUGAAGUUGACCGCCUGGGGAGUACGGUCGCAAGAUUAAAACUCAAAGGAAUUGACGGGGACCCGCACAAGCGGUGGAUGAUGUGGAUUAAUUCGAUGCAACGCGAAAAACCUUACCUACCCUUGACAUGCCACUAACGAAGCAGAGAUGCAUUAGGUGCUCGAAAGAGAAAGUGGACACAGGUGCUGCACGGCUGUCGUCAGCUCGUGUCGUGAGAUGUUGGGUUAAGUCCCGCAACGAGCGCAACUCUUGUCUCUAGUUGCUACGAAAGGGCACUCUAGAGAGACUGCCGGUGACAAACCGGAGGAAGGUGGGGAUGACGUCAAGUCCUCAUGGCCCUUAUGGGUAGGGCUUCACACGUCAUACAAUGGUGCAUACAGAGGGUUGCCAAGCCGCGAGGUGGAGCUAAUCCCAGAAAAUGCAUCGUAGUCCGGAUCGUAGUCUGCAACUCGACUACGUGAAGCUGGAAUCGCUAGUAAUCGCGGAUCAGCAUGCCGCGGUGAAUACGUUCCCGGGUCUUGUACACACCGCCCGUCACACCAUGGGAGUGGGUUUUGCCAGAAGUAGUUAGCCUAACCGCAAGGGGGGCGAU